GGGGAAGGCACCAAGAGCAGCCGCUGCUACUUCCCAUCUCUCCCACCCCCAUCCCUAAAGGGUACGCUCUACAAAAAAUUGUGGGAGUGUUUUUUUUUGUGGACCUUUCUGUUACUAUGGAAACGGGAGUAGCUGGAGAGUGUUCCGGGAUACCUGGUAAGGCAAAUGCAAGAUGUAGAAACGGAGGCUGAGAGAUAAAUGAAGUGGCCCAGAUGAUAUUCAUGGUAUGCUGUGGAACCAGGACUCUACCCCAACACUGUAGCUUCUGCCAAACAAAGAUGUCUCUUGUGUGCAGGAUUAGAGAAAAAGGACAGAAGCCAGAACUGGUUUUCUGAAAGGAUGUUAUAGAAGAAGCUACUGGUGGCCCAGAAUCCCUUCCUGGGGCUGGUCUGCCCACCCACUAGUUGCUGUGAGUGUUGGCUCCUGACGACCCAUACCUGCACCUUCUCCUGACAAUUGCCCUCACCUAGAUGGGGGCCACCCACGAGAAAUGCCUGGAAGGUCCCCACACCCUGCGGUGGCCAGCAGCCAAUGACUGACUCAUAUGGAGGCAGAAGACUCAUUCCCUUGCCUCCAGGUGGGCAAGUCUGAGGGCCUCUCACACUCCAGAGCUCCCCACAGGACCAAGCUGAGGCAAGACUUCAGCUGAACCCACAGCUCUGUUCAGCGCCUUCUCCUCCCCUCUCUUGCUUCUCUUAUUCCUCUAGUUUCCACCUGAGAGGUCUUCCUUAUUCACUUGCACAAACCCCUGUCUCAGCUUCUGCUUCAAGAGAACUGACCCAAGACAGGUAUUAAAAGUCAAAGUUCAUUUGGAUCGCAAACUGGCUGACAAUCCACGGGCACCAGGGGAGGAGCAGGAACCAUGGUAUAGUGCCAACAGUCUUCAAUAUGUCAGGAAAGCAGGGGUGCUGACAAGAGACAGUGGGGGAAAGAAGAUAUGGAGGGGUGCUGGAGGCACUUA
Long non-coding RNA from Hipposideros armiger (great roundleaf bat), 961 nucleotides. RefSeq lists it as uncharacterized. The record is from RefSeq and is a predicted model, not a curated record. The transcript is spliced from 3 exons. NCBI's taxonomy places the organism in Eukaryota, Metazoa, Chordata, Mammalia, Chiroptera, Hipposideridae.